CGAACCGGGGGAACUGAAACAUCUAAGUACCCCGAGGAAAAGAAAUCAACCGAGAUUCCCCCAGUAGCGGCGAGCGAACGGGGAGCAGCCCGGAGUCUGAAUCAGCUUGUGUGUUAGUGGAAGCGUCUGGAAAGUCGCACGGUACAGGGUGACAGUCCCGUACACGAAAAUGCACAGGUUGUGAACUCGAAGAGUAGGGCGGGACACGUGGUAUCCUGUCUGAAUAUGGGGGGACCAUCCUCCAAGGCUAAAUACUCCUGACUGACCGAUAGUGAACCAGUACCGUGAGGGAAAGGCGAAAAGAACCCCGGCGAGGGGAGUGAAAAAGAACCUGAAACCGUGUACGUACAAGCAGUGGGAGCACCUUCGGGUGUGACUGCGUACCUUUUGUAUAAUGGGUCAGCGACUUAUAUUCUGUAGCAAGGUUAACCGUAUAGGGGAGCCGCAGGGAAACCGAGUCUUAACUGGGCGUUAAGUUGCAGGGUAUAGACCCGAAACCCGGUGAUCUAGCCAUGGGCAGGUUGAAGGUUGGGUAACACUAACUGGAGGACCGAACCGACUAAUGUUGAAAAAUUAGCGGAUGACCUGUGGCUGGGGGUGAAAGGCCAAUCAAACCGGGAGAUAGCUGGUUCUCCCCGAAAGCUAUUUAGGUAGCGCCUCGUGAACUCAUCUUCGGGGGUAGAGCACUGUUUCGGCUAGGGGGCCAUCCCGGCUUACCAACCCGAUGCAAACUACGAAUACCGAAGAAUGUUAUCACGGGAGACACACGGCGGGUGCUAACGUCCGUCGUGAAGAGGGAAACAACCCAGACCGCCAGCUAAGGUCCCAAAGUCAUGGUUAAGUGGGAAACGAUGUGGGAAGGCACAGACAGCCAGGAUGUUGGCUUAGAAGCAGCCAUCAUUUAAAGAAAGCGUAAUAGCUCACUGGUCGAGUCGGCCUGCGCGGAAGAUGUAACGGGGCUAAACCAUGCACCGAAGCUGCGGCAGCGACGCUUAUGCGUUGUUGGGUAGGGGAGCGUUCUGUAAGCCGUUGAAGGUGUGCUGUGAGGCAUGCUGGAGGUAUCAGAAGUGCGAAUGCUGACAUAAGUAACGAUAAAGCGGGUGAAAAGCCCGCUCGCCGGAAGACCAAGGGUUCCUGUCCAACGUUAAUCGGGGCAGGGUGAGUCGACCCCUAAGGCGAGGCCGAAAGGCGUAGUCGAUGGGAAACAGGUUAAUAUUCCUGUACUUGGUGUUACUGCGAAGGGGGGACGGAGAAGGCUAUGUCAGCCGGGCGACGGUUGUCCCGGUUUAAGCGUGUAGGUGUGUGUUCCAGGCAAAUCCGGUUCACUUUAACACUGAGGCGUGAUGACGAGGCACUACGGUGCUGAAGUGAUAAAUGCCCUGCUUCCAGGAAAAGCCUCUAAGCAUCAGGUAACACGAAAUCGUACCCCAAACCGACACAGGUGGUCAGGUAGAGAAUACCAAGGCGCUUGAGAGAACUCGGGUGAAGGAACUAGGCAAAAUGGUGCCGUAACUUCGGGAGAAGGCACGCUGAUAUGUAGGUGAAGUCCCUGCGGACGGAGCUGAAAUCAGUCGAAGAUACCAGCUGGCUGCAACUGUUUAUUAAAAACACAGCACUGUGCAAACACGAAAGUGGACGUAUACGGUGUGACGCCUGCCCGGUGCCGGAAGGUUAAUUGAUGGGGUUAGCGGCAACGCGAAGCUCUUGAUCGAAGCCCCGGUAAACGGCGGCCGUAACUAUAACGGUCCUAAGGUAGCGAAAUUCCUUGUCGGGUAAGUUCCGACCUGCACGAAUGGCGUAAUGAUGGCCAGGCUGUCUCCACCCGAGACUCAGUGAAAUUGAACUCGCUGUGAAGAUGCAGUGUACCCGCGGCAAGACGGAAAGACCCCGUGAACCUUUACUAUAGCUUGACACUGAACACUGGUCCUUGAUGUGUAGGAUAGGUGGGAGGCUUUGAAGCGUGGACGCCAGUCUGCGUGGAGCCAUCCUUGAAAUACCACCCUUUAAUGGCUGGUGUUCUAACGUGGACCCGUAAUCCGGGUUGCGGACAGUGUCUGGUGGGUAGUUUGACUGGGGCGGUCUCCUCCCAAAGAGUAACGGAGGAGCACGAAGGUUAGCUAAUCCUGGUCGGACAUCAGGAGGUUAGUGCAAUGGCAUAAGCUAGCUUGACUGCGAGAGUGACGGCUCGAGCAGGUGCGAAAGCAGGUCAUAGUGAUCCGGUGGUUCUGAAUGGAAGGGCCAUCGCUCAACGGAUAAAAGGUACUCCGGGGAUAACAGGCUGAUACCGCCCAAGAGUUCAUAUCGACGGCGGUGUUUGGCACCUCGAUGUCGGCUCAUCACAUCCUGGGGCUGAAGUAGGUCCCAAGGGUAUGGCUGUUCGCCAUUUAAAGUGGUACGCGAGCUGGGUUUAGAACGUCGUGAGACAGUUCGGUCCCUAUCUGCCGUGGGCGCUGGAGAAUUGAGGGGGGCUGCUCCUAGUACGAGAGGACCGGAGUGGACGCAUCACUGGUGUUCGGGUUGUCAUGCCAAUGGCACUGCCCGGUAGCUAAAUGCGGAAGAGAUAAGUGCUGAAAGCAUCUAAGCACGAAACUUGCCCCGAGAUGAGUUCU
This 2609-nucleotide ribosomal RNA is filed under the name Enterobacter cloacae. RNAcentral's name for it is "bacterial LSU rRNA". It matches the Rfam family "Bacterial large subunit ribosomal RNA". Lineage: Bacteria; Pseudomonadati; Pseudomonadota; Gammaproteobacteria; Enterobacterales; Enterobacteriaceae. The record is from RNAcentral.